GAUGAACGCUGGCGGCGUGCCUAAUACAUGCAAGUCGAGCGAACAGACGCGGAGCUUGCUCCUCUGACGUUAGCGGCGGACGGGUGUGUAACACGUGUAUCACCUACCUAUAAGACUGGGAUAACUUCGGGAAACCGGAUCUAAUACCGGAUAAUCUAUUGAACCACAUGGUUCAAUAGUGAAAGACGGUUUUGCUGUCACUUCUCGCUGGUUCCGCGCCGCAUUAGCUAGUUGGUAAGGUAACGGCUUACCAAGGCAACGAUGCGUAGCCGACCUGAGAGGGUGAUCGGCCACACUGGAACUGAGACACGGUCCAGACUCCUACGGGAGGCAGCAGUAGGGAAUCUUCCGCAAUGGGCGAAAGCCUGACGGAGCAACGCCGCGUGAGUGAUGAAGGUCUUCGGAUCGUAAAACUCUGUUAUUAGUGAAGAACAAAUGUGUAAGUAACUAUGCACGUCUUGACGGUACCUAAUCAGAAAGCCACGGCUAACUACGUG
Molecule: ribosomal RNA, 497 nt
Filed under: uncultured bacterium
Lineage: Bacteria
Description: partial 16S ribosomal RNA
Rfam family: Bacterial small subunit ribosomal RNA
Source: RNAcentral